Molecule: ribosomal RNA, 301 nt
Filed under: uncultured bacterium
Lineage: Bacteria
Description: partial 16S ribosomal RNA
Rfam family: Bacterial small subunit ribosomal RNA
Source: RNAcentral
CAGCCGCCGCGGUAAUACGAAGGGUGCAAGCGUUACUCGGAAUUACUGGGCGUAAAGCGUGCGUAGGUGGUCGUUUAAGUCCGUUGUGAAAGCCCUGGGCUCAACCUGGGAACUGCAGUGGAUACUGGGCGACUAGAGUGUGGUAGAGGGUAGCGGAAUUCCUGGUGUAGCAGUGAAAUGCGUAGAGAUCAGGAGGAACAUCCAUGGCGAAGGCAGCUACCUGGACCAACACUGACACUGAGGCACGAAAGCGUGGGGAGCAAACAGGAUUAGAUACCCCUGUAGUCCCUGUCUCUUAUAC